RNAcentral lists this ribosomal RNA (746 nucleotides) under Vibrio parahaemolyticus. RNAcentral describes it as "partial 23S ribosomal RNA". It matches the Rfam family "Bacterial large subunit ribosomal RNA", at positions 2203 to 2925 of the family's 2925-position model. The record is from RNAcentral. Lineage: Bacteria; Pseudomonadati; Pseudomonadota; Gammaproteobacteria; Vibrionales; Vibrionaceae.
CCCUUGUAGUGUUGAUGUUCUAACGUUGACCCCUAAUCGGGGUUGCGGACAGUGCCUGGUGGGUAGUUUGACUGGGGCGGUCUCCUCCCAAAGAGUAACGGAGGAGCACGAAGGUGGGCUAAUCACGGUUGGACAUCGUGAGGUUAGUGCAAUGGCAUAAGCCCGCUUGACUGCGAGAAUGACAAUUCGAGCAGGUGCGAAAGCAGGUCAUAGUGAUCCGGUGGUUCUGAAUGGAAGGGCCAUCGCUCAACGGAUAAAAGGUACUCCGGGGAUAACAGGCUGAUACCGCCCAAGAGUUCAUAUCGACGGCGGUGUUUGGCACCUCGAUGUCGGCUCAUCACAUCCUGGGGCUGAAGUCGGUCCCAAGGGUAUGGCUGUUCGCCAUUUAAAGUGGUACGCGAGCUGGGUUUAGAACGUCGUGAGACAGUUCGGUCCCUAUCUGCCGUGGGCGUUGGAAGAUUGAAGGGGGCUGCUCCUAGUACGAGAGGACCGGAGUGGACGAACCUCUGGUGUUCGGGUUGUGUCGCCAGACGCAUUGCCCGGUAGCUAAGUUCGGAAUCGAUAACCGCUGAAAGCAUCUAAGCGGGAAGCGAGCCCUGAGAUGAGUCUUCCCUGAUACUUUAAGUAUCCUAAAGGGUUGUCGGAGACUACGACGUUGAUAGGUCAGGUGUGUAAGUGCUGUGAGGCAUUGAGCUAACUGAUACUAAUUGCCCGUGAGGCUUAACCAUACAACACCCAAGGGGUUU